UGAUGAAACAGCAUGUCGAGAUGAUUUG
This 28-nucleotide small RNA is filed under the name Bombyx mori (domestic silkworm). Its description in RNAcentral is "ovarian small RNA-32763". Lineage: Eukaryota; Metazoa; Arthropoda; Insecta; Lepidoptera; Bombycidae. The record is from RNAcentral.